AAUUAAUUAUAAAAAUAUCUUAAUCAAAUCUUAGAUCUUAAAUAAAUCAUAAUUAAUUUUUAAUCAACUUCUAAAACUUAAAAAAAUCUUUAAAAUCCUAUAGAAAAUUAAAAAAUCAAUAAUUAAUAAUUAAACCAUUGAUUUUGACACAAAAUUUUAAUACCUUGCAACAACUAAAUAAGAAACAAGUACAAAAAAAAUGAAGAAGAUUGCACAUACCAAUAGGAAGCAAAGCUCUUAAA
This 242-nucleotide long non-coding RNA is filed under the name Physcomitrium patens. RNAcentral describes it as "long non-coding RNA (PPAT_LNC000945)". Lineage: Eukaryota; Viridiplantae; Streptophyta; Bryopsida; Funariales; Funariaceae. The record is from RNAcentral.